UAGAGUUUGAUCCUGGCUCAGAGCGAACGCUGGCGGCAGGCCUAACACAUGCAAGUCGAACGGACCCUUCGGGGUUAGUGGCGGACGGGUGAGUAACACGUGGGAACGUGCCUUUAGGUUCGGAAUAGCUCCUGGAAACGGGUGGUAAUGCCGAAUGUGCCCUUCGGGGGAAAGAUUUAUCGCCUUUAGAGCGGCCCGCGUCUGAUUAGCUAGUUGGUGAGGUAACGGCUCACCAAGGCGACGAUCAGUAGCUGGUCUGAGAGGAUGACCAGCCACACUGGGACUGAGACACGGCCCAGACUCCUACGGGAGGCAGCAGUGGGGAAUCUUGCGCAAUGGGCGAAAGCCUGACGCAGCCAUGCCGCGUGAAUGAUGAAGGUCUUAGGAUUGUAAAAUUCUUUCACCGGGGACGAUAAUGACGGUACCCGGAGAAGAAGCCCCGGCUAACUUCGUGCCAGCAGCCGCGGUAAUA
RNAcentral lists this ribosomal RNA (472 nucleotides) under uncultured bacterium. RNAcentral's name for it is "bacterial SSU rRNA". It matches the Rfam family "Bacterial small subunit ribosomal RNA", at positions 1 to 525 of the family's 1533-position model. The record is from RNAcentral.